Molecule: non-coding RNA, 74 nt
Organism: Pestalotiopsis sp. 9143b
Lineage: Eukaryota; Fungi; Ascomycota; Sordariomycetes; Amphisphaeriales; Sporocadaceae
Source: the annotation of a GenBank genome assembly
GGCCGGUUGGUGUAGUUGGUUAUCACGUCAGUCUAACACACUGAAGGUCGCCGGAUCGAGCCCGGCACUGGUCA